RNAcentral lists this long non-coding RNA (1141 nucleotides) under Manihot esculenta (cassava). Its description in RNAcentral is "long non-coding RNA (MESC_LNC004316)". Lineage: Eukaryota; Viridiplantae; Streptophyta; Magnoliopsida; Malpighiales; Euphorbiaceae. The record is from RNAcentral.
ACAUACUCUUAUAAGCUAAUUUUGAUAGUAUAAAUGUCAUCUGAAUAUGUUAAUAAUAUUUUAGUAUUCCUAGAUGGAGAAUUGUAACUUUUAAAAUCCUAUUUUCAGUUUAUUUAUAUUUUUAGGUCUACUUGAAAUAUUUGAUUUUUUUUUCUUAACGAUGCAAGUAAAUUGCAUAAAGAGGGUUUGAAAGAUCUGCAACCCAAGAAAUUAGUUCAGAAGCCCAACCACUCUAAACAAACCCACAAGACAAACACAACCCUCAACUGAACCAACCAAAAAUUCAACCCGAACCCAGAAAGCAACACAAUCAUAUCAGUCUAUAGGAACCUUAACCACCGCCUGUACGAAACAUCAGCUGCAGCUAUCAAAUUCAACACAGUGCUAAUCCAUAAUAUUCUCACUGCUGUUGACACCGAUGAACAAAACACAAACAAACCAACACAACAGUGAUAAUAGGGUCAGCAGAACUUGAAUCAUCAAACAUGCAUGUAGUAACAAUCACAGGAAUUCUCAGGAGCAAUACAUGGAGGCAACUCGACGAGGAAGGAGAUGCCGCAAAGUGUAGCCGAUCAUUGGCGAGAGAAAGCAGAAGUUAUCGAUACGUGUAUGGUUUCAAAGAUGUCAAUAUCGAUACCAAAGGAGUCCUUUCCGUCAGCAAAUAUAUACUAGUCAACUCUUGCUAGGUCUCAAAGCAAAUUUCUCUCGCUGAACUCGAUAAUGAUUUAGAGAACGAAAAUAAGAAAAGCAAAAAAUAAAAAAUUAUCAAAACACACAACACCGUCUUACCACGGCGAGGGAUGACUAUGGAGGACAGAAACCACAAUCUGUUCCUGGACAAGAAAAACAAGAACAAAACUUUAAAAAAAAUCAAGAAAAACUAAGAAAAGCGAGAUUAGCAGAAACCCGAACCCUCCCUAAUAUGCCAACGAAGAGUCAAACUGCCAAAUUGCAAUUACCCUUCUCCUUUUCUCUAUGCACUCUUACCUUCUCUCUUUUUUACUUAUCAUUAUGCAUCUAAUUCUACUUGAGUCUAUCAGCGAGAAGUGUGUUCAUUCUUAUUUAGAAAAUCAAAUUCCCAUUGAUUAUGUACACGUGCUUUUGAAACUUUGACUUAUUUAAGCUACUCGGUAAUGUUACC